This 72-nucleotide transfer RNA is filed under the name Bos taurus (domestic cattle). It matches the Rfam family "tRNA". From Rfam's summary of the family: Transfer RNA (tRNA) molecules are approximately 80 nucleotides in length. Their secondary structure includes four short double-helical elements and three loops (D, anti-codon, and T loops). RNAcentral also lists the same sequence under 1 other name. Lineage: Eukaryota; Metazoa; Chordata; Mammalia; Artiodactyla; Bovidae. The record is from Rfam by way of RNAcentral.
UCCCUGGUGGCUCAGAUGGUAAAGCAUCUGCCUAUAAUGCAGGAGACUUUGGUUCAAUCCCUGGAUCGGGAA